CAGCCAUAAACUAUGCGCGUUAGGUGUAUCGGUGACCACGAGUUACCGAGGUGCCGAAGGGAAACCGUGAAACGUGCCGCCUGGGAAGUACGGUCGCAAGGCUGAAACUUAAAGGAAUUGGCGGGGAGCACCACAACAGGUGGAGCCUGCGGUUUAAUUGGACUCAACGCCGGGAAGCUCACCGGAUAGGACAGCAGAAUGAUUGCCGGGCUGAAGACCCUGCAUGACUAGCUGAGAGGAGGUGCAUGGCGUAGACGUCU
Molecule: ribosomal RNA, 260 nt
Filed under: uncultured archaeon
Lineage: Archaea
Description: partial 16S ribosomal RNA
Rfam family: Archaeal small subunit ribosomal RNA
Source: RNAcentral